GAUGAUGAACGUAGCGAAAUGCGAUAAGUAAUGUGAAUUGCAGAAUUCAGUGAAUCAUCGAAUCUUUGAACGCACAUUGCGCCCAUUAGCAUUCUAGUGGGCAUGCCUGUUCGAGCGUCAUUUCAACCCUUAAGCCCUGUUGCUUAGCGUUGGGAGCCUACAGUACUGUAGCUCCCCAAAGUUAGUGGCGGAGUCGGUUUCACACUCUAGACGUAGUAAUUUUUUCUCGUCUGUAGUUGAGCCGGUCCCCUGCCGUAAAACACCCAAUUUAUCAAGGUUGACCUCGGAUCAGGUAGGAAUACCCGCUGAACUUAAGCAUAUCAAUAAGCGGAGGA
RNAcentral lists this unclassified non-coding RNA (335 nucleotides) under soil metagenome. RNAcentral describes it as "partial contains 5.8S ribosomal RNA, internal transcribed spacer 2, and large subunit ribosomal RNA". The stretch from base 1 to 120 matches the Rfam family "5.8S ribosomal RNA", at positions 35 to 154 of the family's 154-position model. The record is from RNAcentral.